GAUGAACGCUGGCGGCGUGCUUAAUACAUGCAAGUCGAACGGAGUAUGUAGCGAUAUAUACUUAGUGGCGAACGGGUGAGUAACGCGUUGGUGACCUGCCCCAAAGCGGGGGAUAACAGUUCGAAAGGACUGCUAAUACCCCAUGUGGUCUUAGGGACUAGACGCCUUUUGACUAAAGGUGCAAACCGCUUCGGGAGGGACCUGCGUCCCAUCAGCUUGUUGGUAGGGUAACGGCCUACCAAGGCGACGACGGGUAGGGGGCCUGAGAGGGUGACCCCCCACACUGGCACUGAAACACGGGCCAGACACCUACGGGUGGCUG
RNAcentral lists this ribosomal RNA (322 nucleotides) under uncultured Chloroflexota bacterium. Its description in RNAcentral is "bacterial SSU rRNA". It matches the Rfam family "Bacterial small subunit ribosomal RNA", at positions 28 to 351 of the family's 1533-position model. The record is from RNAcentral. Lineage: Bacteria; Bacillati; Chloroflexota.